Molecule: ribosomal RNA, 492 nt
Filed under: uncultured bacterium
Lineage: Bacteria
Description: partial 16S ribosomal RNA
Rfam family: Bacterial small subunit ribosomal RNA
Source: RNAcentral
AGUGAACGCUGGCGGUAGGCCUAACACAUGCAAGUCGAACGGCAGCACAGUAAGAGCUUGCUCUUACGGGUGGCGAGUGGCGGACGGGUGAGGAAUACAUCGGAAUCUACUUUUUCGUGGGGGAUAACGUAGGGAAACUUACGCUAAUACCGCAUACGACCUACGGGUGAAAGCAGGGGAUCUUCGGACCUUGCGCGAUUGAAUGAGCCGAUGUCGGAUUAGCUAGUUGGCGGGGUAAAGGCCCACCAAGGCGACGAUCCGUAGCUGAUCUGAGAGGAUGAUCAGCCACACUGGAACUGAGACACGGUCCAGACUCCUACGGGAGGCAGCAGUGGGGAAUAUUGGACAAUGGGCGCAAGCCUGAUCCAGCCAUACCGCGUGGGUGAAGAAGGCCUUCGGGUUGUAAAGCCCUUUUGUUGGGAAAGAAAAGCAGCAGGUUAAUACCCCGCUGUUCUGACGGUACCCAAAGAAUAAGCACCGGCUAACUACGUG